Long non-coding RNA from Equus caballus (horse), 1608 nucleotides. NCBI's taxonomy places the organism in Eukaryota, Metazoa, Chordata, Mammalia, Perissodactyla, Equidae. The record is from Ensembl.
CAGAGCCUUGAUAAAAUCACUAAAAGUAUGCUAAUUGUAAGGUCUCAACAAACAGCUAAAAAGCCAUCUCCUGAAAACUACCAUCUAUCUUCCUUCAAAGCUGGGAGGAGACAGUGAGAAGUUCCAAAUCGGCUUCCAGCAGAUCAAUAGAACAUCUUCAAGUAAAAGGAACACAUAUUUGAGAAUGUGUCGGGUUCAGCUUCUAAACAAUGGAAAGCCGGUGCUCCUGAGUGCCUCAACAGGAACUCUGAGAGGAAUACAGAAGUUCCCCUGCUCACUCAGGCCUUAGACCUGGCUAUGGCAUUUACUGGAAGUGCUCAUUGAGAAGAGAGGGAAGGGAAGCUCAAGUGUCUUUUGUAGAAGUGUGUCCAGAACAAAAUUAUAUUGGCGGCAACAAUCAGUUAAUGAAGGAAGAGGAAAAAGAAACAAGACUUUCAGCUUGAAAGGUUUGGAGACGAGCAAGAGUAGCCAGAUCUCCUCAUCCUCAGCUGAGGGCUCUCUGCAAAGACCCAGGACUGCUCGAUUUCAUUGUCAUCUCAGAUAUAAUCAAUCAUGUCACAUUAAUCUUUACCAAAUCCUGGUCAAAGAGAAAGAAGAGCAAAGCACUUCCUUUCAAGGUCAUGGACAGAGAAUGCAGGAAAUCCAGGAAUAGAACUCAGAUCUUCGGGCGCCCCUUCCAGUGCUUUCACAUACACUUUGAACAAUGAAAUGAGGAGUAUAAAGACAUAUGUCAAGGCCAAUGGGAGAUGAAACGUCAAAGGGGGUGUAUGUGAAGGGAAUCAGAUGAGAGCUGAAAAUAGAAACAGUUGAUGAGGAAAGCAAUAAAAGCCAGCUGCUCUCAGGUGGCAUUAGUCGUCAAGAGCAAUCUUGCUGGUCAAUCCACCAGUGGUACUUGAAUGCUGGUAUAAGGUGAUUAAAAGAAGUGAGUUUCAGGUGUGCAAAGAACUCAACUGGAAGACAUAAUAGAUUUUAAAUCCUAAAGUGAAUCUGAAAUCAGCUUUUGUUUUGUUUUAAGCACAGAGGGAAUCUGAUUGAAGGAACAUCUUCACUGCAGCCCAGUCAGGAGUUCACAAGGCCCUGAGAAAACCUUCUGCCUGCCUCUCCCUGGGCCUCAGAGAGUCCCACAGGCUCUGCAGCUGACAGGAGAGGCGGCUGGAAUAUGAAGAGAGGUGCAGAGGCUGUCAGCACUGGCCCAGUUAGGGAGACUUGUGUUCAUUCACUGUCUCAGCUUCAGGGGCCUUUGUAGGGAAUGGCAAUUCGCAGUGUGAAUUUCAAUAGGAUCUUUAAAUCUCUCAGAGAUUUUUCUCUUUUCUGAGGAAAUUUCCCACUGCCAAACAUUCGUAGAUUGACAGCUCUGCAGGUAACUCUCUAAUAUAGGAGUUCUUUCUUAUUCCUUACUGUACCCAGGGCCUUGUUUCCUAAAGGUUUAGGUAUACACAUAUUUUUAAAAUUUUAUUUUGAUGGAUAUUUCUUUUCUAACUGGCAUCAGCCUUAAAUUAAAAUGAAUGGACCCUGGACUCGCACAGAAAUAUUGUUUUUAUAGGUUUCUCAAAGUAGGAUGUAUUAAAGAAGACAUAUCAAGUUUCUAGAGCUUGUGUUGCCAUAGUA